RNAcentral lists this transfer RNA (73 nucleotides) under Amylolactobacillus amylophilus. RNAcentral describes it as "tRNA-Thr". It matches the Rfam family "tRNA". Rfam says of the family: Transfer RNA (tRNA) molecules are approximately 80 nucleotides in length. Their secondary structure includes four short double-helical elements and three loops (D, anti-codon, and T loops). Further hydrogen bonds mediate the characteristic L-shaped molecular structure. tRNAs have two regions of fundamental functional importance: the anti-codon, which is responsible for specific mRNA codon recognition, and the 3' end, to which the tRNAs corresponding amino acid is attached (by aminoacyl-tRNA synthetases). tRNAs cope with the degeneracy of the genetic code in two manners: having more than one tRNA (with a specific anti-codon) for a particular amino acid; and 'wobble' base-pairing, i.e. permitting non-standard base-pairing at the 3rd anti-codon position. Lineage: Bacteria; Bacillati; Bacillota; Bacilli; Lactobacillales; Lactobacillaceae. The record is from RNAcentral. RNAcentral also lists the same sequence under 1 other name.
GCCACUUUAGCUCAGCAGGUAGAGCAUCACCAUGGUAAGGUGGGGGUCGCCAGUUCAAAUCUGGCAAGUGGCU